CAUAUUAAAAAGUCUCUUGGAUACUUCGAAGUGCACUAUGUGGCUUUGCUCACUAUGCAACUCUUAUAGGUGAGUGAUCAUAAUCUUAACAGUGGGCAUAUGCUUAUGCUGGCUCUGCAACUCAUUUGACAUGGAAGCCAGCACAUAGCACUUAAUCCGACUAUCUUCAUUCGUCCACUUUUUAUAUGUUGUUCUUUACUCAGUUGUAGGAUGGUUUGGUAACACUAAAGGUUCCUGAUCAAGUACAUGACCUAAUUUUUUAAAAGUCAGGAUAAUCUUGAAAUUUUUAAGUCAGUCUUUAAAAUUGAUUCUAAUCAAACGAUUGGACUCAAGGAUACGGGCUAGAGGGUUUGAAGCUGGCAUGAUUUAACUACGAGAGUAGAGAUUCAAGUUAGACUUUUG
This 402-nucleotide long non-coding RNA is filed under the name Elaeis guineensis (African oil palm). Its description in RNAcentral is "long non-coding RNA (EGUI_LNC031772)". Lineage: Eukaryota; Viridiplantae; Streptophyta; Magnoliopsida; Arecales; Arecaceae. The record is from RNAcentral.